GAGGCCGGUGAUGAGGACUUCUCCCACUCCUGUCACGUUUCCCAACCAUGAGAUGACUCCACAUCCACUACCAUCUGAGGCUGC
Molecule: small nucleolar RNA, 84 nt
Organism: Camelus dromedarius (Arabian camel)
Lineage: Eukaryota; Metazoa; Chordata; Mammalia; Artiodactyla; Camelidae
Source: Ensembl